AUAGAGUGUUUCAAGCAGGCUUGUCGCCCUGAAUACUGCAGCAUGGAAUAAUAAGAUAGGACCUUGGUUCUAUUUUGUUGGUUUCUAGGACCGAGGUAAUGAUUAAUAGGGACAGUUGGGGGCAUUCGUAUUUAACUGUCAGAGGUGAAAUUCUUAGAUUUGUUAAAGACGAACUACUGCGAAAGCAUUUGCCAAGGAUGUUUUCAUUAAUCAAGAACGACAGUAGGGGU
This 230-nucleotide ribosomal RNA is filed under the name Cyclospora cayetanensis. RNAcentral's name for it is "partial small subunit ribosomal RNA". It matches the Rfam family "Eukaryotic small subunit ribosomal RNA", at positions 766 to 996 of the family's 1831-position model. The record is from RNAcentral. Lineage: Eukaryota; Apicomplexa; Conoidasida; Eucoccidiorida; Eimeriidae.